GCUGAUGGGUUUCUUCACUUUCACCGUAGAAUUUUCUGGUGAAGAACCAAAGCUUUUAACAUUUGAGGAUACCAGAAAGAAGUUCAUUUCUCCGGGCAGCAGCGACUGGUGCGAAAAAAAUUGCUCUUCGAGGUCCCAUAUUUACGUGAAAAGAUGAGUGACGUGGCCUGCUAAUCAGUUUCACCUGAGAAACUGAGAAUUUUACGAGCGCUCAUGAAGGACAAAGUAGCAACCUCCUCCAGUUCGCAGUGAGGCAAGGGGACGAUGAAGUUCAGCGACCUGUUAUGCUGUGAUACACUGUAAUGUCAAACCGGCUGCUCAAGGACGUGCCCCGCAGUAAAGCAGAGCAGCACAUAAAGUCCUGGCUGAGGCACGCCAAAGAACCUCAUGACAGGACGUCGACAAAAGAUAAGGGCUCGGAGUACUACACAGAACAGCAGCGACAGCUGGGCCAAUCCGUGCGAAACUCUUCAGGCCUACCUUUGAGCCUACAUUUCACGAGAGAAAAAAAUGUGCAUUCUCUGAGAGUGUGGCAGAUACACAUUUCUUUCCUCUGUAUAUUUGGCC
Molecule: long non-coding RNA, 567 nt
Organism: Ornithodoros turicata
Lineage: Eukaryota; Metazoa; Arthropoda; Arachnida; Ixodida; Argasidae
Exons: 3
Source: RefSeq, a predicted model, not a curated record